GAUGAACGCUAGCUACAGGCUUAACACAUGCAAGUCGCAGGGUAACAUGAGGACAGCUUGCUUUCCUUGAUGACGACUGGCGCACGGGUGAGUAACGCGUAUCCAACCUUCCCAUAACUACGGGAUAACCCGUUGAAAGACGGCCUAAUACCGUAUGAUAUCGUUUGCUGACAUCAAAUAACGAUUAAAGGUUUAGCGGUUAUGGAUGGGGAUGCGUCUGAUUAGCUUGUUGGCGGGGUAACGGCCCACCAAGGCGACGAUCAGUAGGGGUUCUGAGAGGAAGGUCCCCCACAUUGGAACUGAGACACGGUCCAAACUCCUACGGGAGGCAGCAGUGAGGAAUAGUGGUCAAUGGGCGAGAGCCUGAACCAGCCAAGUAGCGUGCAGGACGACGGCCCUAUGGGUUGUAAACUGCUUUUAUGUGGGGAUAAAGUGCGUGACGUGUCAUGCAUUGCAGGUACCACAUGAAUAAGGACCGGCUAAUUCCGUG
This 490-nucleotide ribosomal RNA is filed under the name uncultured bacterium. Its description in RNAcentral is "partial 16S ribosomal RNA". It matches the Rfam family "Bacterial small subunit ribosomal RNA", at positions 28 to 507 of the family's 1533-position model. The record is from RNAcentral.